CCUACGGGAGGCAGCAGUGGGGAAUUUUGGACAAUGGGCGCAAGCCUGAUCCAGCAAUGCCGCGUGUGUGAAGAAGGCCUUCGGGUUGUAAAGCACUUUUGUCCGGAAAGAAAUCAUUCUGGCUAAUACCCGGAGUGGAUGACGGUACCGGAAGAAUAAGCACCGGCUAACUACGUGCCAGCAGCCGCGGUAAUACGUAGGGUGCGAGCGUUAAUCGGAAUUACUGGGCGUAAAGCGUGCGCAGGCGGUUUGCUAAGACCGAUGUGAAAUCCCCGGGCUCAACCUGGGAACUGCAUUGGUGACUGGCAGGCUAGAGUAUGGCAGAGGGGGGUAGAAUUCCACGUGUAGCAGUGAAAUGCGUAGAGAUGUGGAGGAAUACCGAUGGCGAAGGCAGCCCCCUGGGCCAAUACUGACGCUCAUGCACGAAAGCGUGGGGAGCAAACAGGAUUAGAUACCCUGGNAGUCCACGCCCUAAACGAUGUCAACUAGUUGUUGGGGAUUCAUUUCCUUAGUAACGUAGCUAACGCGUGAAGUUGACCGCCUGGGGAGUACGGUCGCAAGAUUAAAACUCAAAGGAAUUGACGGGGACCCGCACAAGCGGUGGAUGAUGUGGAUUAAUUCGA
This 623-nucleotide ribosomal RNA is filed under the name uncultured bacterium. RNAcentral's name for it is "bacterial SSU rRNA". It matches the Rfam family "Bacterial small subunit ribosomal RNA", at positions 338 to 954 of the family's 1533-position model. The record is from RNAcentral.